GAGAUACAAAAUUACAAACUCUCUCACAGGUUUACAGACCUAGGUUUACAGACCUGGUUUCAAAACAAAUACAAAUGAUCUACAAUCAUCAAAAAAAAAACAAUGGGAUGAAAACUAAAAAGAAAUACAUCAGCCAAGUAAAUAAAAGAGUGAACGUUGAAGGAAGAUUACGUUGCACAUGAGAGAUAGAGAGUAUCAAGCUUAGCUAUAAGCGUGACAGAAAUAUCAGAGAUAUAGGCAGAAAGGUGAUCUGCUGGCCGCGAGGGGAAGAUAUCUGUUGAUGAUAUCUUCUGAAAACUUCACAGAUGCGAGUGAUCAUUGAAGAAGCCGACCGUGACCGUGAUGGUGAAGUUAAUAUAGAAAAGAUCAUGAAGAUGAUGAAGAGAACAACUUGUUAAAGACACUCUGAUGAGGUCUCUGUUUUAGUUCCUUUUUAACACAAUAUCUUCUAUAAUAUUUUGGUUUUUAAUAUAUGUUUAAUGAGAAGUUUGCUCUUUGUAUGAAA
Molecule: long non-coding RNA, 505 nt
Organism: Raphanus sativus (radish)
Lineage: Eukaryota; Viridiplantae; Streptophyta; Magnoliopsida; Brassicales; Brassicaceae
Exons: 3
Source: RefSeq, a predicted model, not a curated record